Molecule: ribosomal RNA, 401 nt
Filed under: uncultured bacterium
Lineage: Bacteria
Description: bacterial SSU rRNA
Rfam family: Bacterial small subunit ribosomal RNA
Source: RNAcentral
GAUGAACGCUAGGCGGGGAGGCUUAAUACAUGCAAGUCGAGGGGUAGAUAGUCUUCGGAUUAUCGAGACCGGCGCACGGGUGCAUAACGCGUACACAACAUGCCUUAUACUGGGGGUAUAGCUUCGGGAAACUGAUGGUAACUCCCCCAUGACAUUGCGGAAUCGCAUGGUUCUGCAAUUAAAGUUCAGGCGGUAUAAGAUUGGUGUGCGUUUGAUUAGGUAGUUGGUAGGGUAACGGCCUACCAAGCCGACGAUCAAUAGCUGGCGUGAGAGCGCGACCAGCCACACUGGAACUGAGACACGGUCCAGACUCCUACGGGAGGCAGCAGUUUGGAAUUUUGGACAAUGGGCGAAAGCCUGAUCCAGCGACGCCGCGUGGACGAUGAAGGCCUUCGGGUUGU